This 135-nucleotide small nucleolar RNA is filed under the name Sphenodon punctatus (tuatara). The record is from RNAcentral. Lineage: Eukaryota; Metazoa; Chordata; Lepidosauria; Sphenodontia; Sphenodontidae.
CCCCUUCUAAAAGCACUUGCUUGGUCUGUGUUCAGUGGUCUGGUGAGUUGUCGUAGAAGGGUACAGCAAAAGUGCUGCUUUUGGGUGAGGUGGCUGCUACAUGUGCUGUUAACCUCAAUCGGUGGCAUGACAGUU